This 497-nucleotide ribosomal RNA is filed under the name uncultured bacterium. RNAcentral's name for it is "partial 16S ribosomal RNA". It matches the Rfam family "Bacterial small subunit ribosomal RNA", at positions 28 to 507 of the family's 1533-position model. The record is from RNAcentral.
GAUGAACGCUGGCGGCGUGCCUAAUACAUGCAAGUCGAGCGAACAGACGAGGAGCUUGCUCCUCUGACGUUAGCGGCGGACGGGUGAGUAACACGUGAUUAACUACCUAUUAGAACGGGAUUAAUUUCGGAAACUGGAGCUAAUACCGGAUUAUUUAUUGAAACGCCUGGUUUAAUAGUUAAAGACGGUUUUGCCUUUCCUUUUAGAUGGAUUCCGCGCCGCAUUAGCUAGUUGGUAAGGUAACGGCUUACCAAGGCAACGAUGCGUAGCCGACCUGAGAGGGUGAUCGGCCACACUGGAACUGAGACACGGUCCAGACUCCUACGGGAGGCAGCAGUAGGGAAUCUUCCGCAAUGGGCGAAAGCCUGACGGAGCAACGCCGCGUGAGUGAUGAAGGUCUUCGGAUCGUAAAACUCUGUUAUUAGGGAAGAACAAAUGUGUAAGUAACUAUGCACGUCUUGACGGUACCUAAUCAGAAAGCCACGGCUAACUACGUG